RNAcentral lists this long non-coding RNA (360 nucleotides) under Capsella rubella. RNAcentral describes it as "long non-coding RNA (CRUB_LNC001133)". The record is from RNAcentral. Lineage: Eukaryota; Viridiplantae; Streptophyta; Magnoliopsida; Brassicales; Brassicaceae.
UUUCGAACCAUGAUCGUUCCCUUCAUCAGAUUGCUCCAAAUCUUCUGUUAAAUCUUCCAUUGUUUUCUUCAGAUUAGCCUUGCUCAUCUGUGCUGCUUCUCCUGUUGAUAUCCCCACCAUUGUUAUCUUUGGUAAGAAAGGACUUUGCAGCAUUUCUCUAUCUCUAGAUUCCAUAUCCCUGGAAACCGAUAGAAAUGCAUGUUUUAAGAUUAUUACUCUCUUCAACAACGUGUUUGUUUGUCUUCAGAUGUUUUGAGAACAAUAAGUACCUUUGACCUGAUGAGCCCUUCUGAUGAGCCUGAUCUUUUCUCGACACAGAGUGUUUAAGCCAAUCUCCAAAAGGGAACCAGAGAUUUUGCC